Molecule: ribosomal RNA, 483 nt
Filed under: uncultured bacterium
Lineage: Bacteria
Description: bacterial SSU rRNA
Rfam family: Bacterial small subunit ribosomal RNA
Source: RNAcentral
AUGAACGCUAGCGGCAGGCUUAACACAUGCAAGGUCGAGGGGCAGCACAGGUAGCAAUACUGGGUGGCGACCGGCGCAAGGGUGCGUAACGCGUGAGCAACAUGCCCGUAUCAGGGGGAUAAUCCAUGGAAACGUGGUCUAAUACCCCAUAGUAAGUUUUGAGGCAUCUCAAGGAUUUUAAAGCUUUGGUGGAUACGGAUUGGCUCGCGUGACAUUAGCUGGAUGGUAGGGUAACGGCUUACCAUGGCUACGAUGUCUAGGGGUUCUGAGAGGAAGGUCCCCCACACUGGAACUGAGACACGGUCCAGACUCCUACGGGAGGCAGCAGUGAGGAAUAUUGGACAAUGGAUGGAAAUCUGAUCCAGCCAUGCCGCGUGCAGGAAGACGGCCCUAUGGGUUGUAAACUGCUUUUGUAUGGGAGCAAUAAGAUCUACGUGUAGAUUGAUGAGAGUACCAUACGAAUAAGCACCGGCUAACUCCGUG